Molecule: ribosomal RNA, 136 nt
Filed under: uncultured bacterium
Lineage: Bacteria
Description: partial 16S ribosomal RNA
Source: RNAcentral
UAUUCAUACGGUACAUACAAAAUCCUACACGUAGGAAACUUUAUUCCCGUAUAAAAGAAGUUUACAAUCCGUAGGACCUUCAUCCUUCACGCUACUUGGCUGGUUCAGGCUCUCGCCCAUUGACCAAUAUUCCUCA